This 353-nucleotide ribosomal RNA is filed under the name uncultured bacterium. Its description in RNAcentral is "bacterial SSU rRNA". It matches the Rfam family "Bacterial small subunit ribosomal RNA", at positions 8 to 349 of the family's 1533-position model. The record is from RNAcentral.
AGAGUUUGAUCAUGGCUCAGGAUGAACGCCAGCUACAGGCUUAACACAUGCAAGUCGAGGGGAAACGACAUCGAGAGCUUGCUUUUGAUGGGCGUCGACCGGCGCACGGGUGAGUAACGCGUAUCCAACCUGCCCAUCACUUGGGGAUAACCUUGCGAAAGUAAGACUAAUACCCAAUGACGUCUCUAGAAGACAUCUGAAAGAGAUUAAAGAUUUAUCGGUGAUGGAUGGGGAUGCGUCUGAUUAGCUUGGUUGGCGGGGUAACGGCCACCAAGGCGACGAUCGAGUAGGGGUUCUGAGAGGAACGGUCCCCANAUUGGAACUGAGACACGGUCCAAACUCCUACGGGAGCA